GACGAACGCUGGCGGCGUGCCUAAUACAUGCAAGUCGAACGCUGAAGGAGGAGCUUGCUUCUCUGGAUGAGUUGCGAACGGGUGAGUAACGCGUAGGUAACCUGCCUGGUAGCGGGGGAUAACUAUUGGAAACGAUAGCUAAUACCGCAUAAUAGUAGAUGUUGCAUGACAUUUGCUUAAAAGGUGCAAUUGCAUCACUACCAGUUGGACCUGCGUUGUAUUAUCUAGUUGGUGAGGUAACGGCUCACCAAGGCAACGAUACAUAGUCGACCUGAGAGGGGGGUCGGCCACACUGGGACUGAGACACGGCCCAGACUCCUACGGGAGGGAGCCGGAGGGAAUCUUCGGCAAGGGACGGAAGUCUGGCCGAGGAACGCCGGGUGAGGGGAGAAGGGUCUCGGAUCGGAAAGAUCCGUUGUUAGGGAAGAACGAGAGUGAGAGUGGAAAGUUCACACUGUGACGGUAUCUUACCAGAAAGGGACGGCUAACUACGUG
RNAcentral lists this ribosomal RNA (495 nucleotides) under uncultured bacterium. RNAcentral's name for it is "partial 16S ribosomal RNA". It matches the Rfam family "Bacterial small subunit ribosomal RNA", at positions 28 to 507 of the family's 1533-position model. The record is from RNAcentral.